GCCAGCCCGCUCAGAAACUCAAAGGAAGUUGACGGGGGCCCGCACAAGCGGUGGAGCAUGUGGUUAAUUCGAUGAUACGCGAGGAACCUUACCUGGGCUCAAAUGUAUGUUGACGUAUCUGAAAGGGAUACUUCUUCGGACAAUAUACAAGGUGCUGCAUGGUUGUCGUCAGCUCGUGCCGUGAGGUGUCGGGUUAAGUCCCAUAACGAGCGCAACCCCUAUCAUUAGUUGCCAUCAGGUCAAGCUGGGGACUCUAAUGAAACUGCCUACGCAAGUAGUGAGGAAGGUGGGGAUGACGUCAAGUCAUCAUGGCCCUUACGGCCUGGGCUACACACGUGCUACAAUGGUCGGUACAAAGGGUUGCCAAGCCGCGAGGUGGAGCUAAUCCCAUAAAACCGAUCGUAGUCCGGAUCGCAGUCUGCAACUCGACUGCGUGAAGUCGGAAUCGCUAGUAAUCGUGAAUCAGAAUGUCACGGUGAAUACGUUCCCGGGCCUU
RNAcentral lists this ribosomal RNA (496 nucleotides) under uncultured Sphingobacteriales bacterium. RNAcentral's name for it is "bacterial SSU rRNA". It matches the Rfam family "Bacterial small subunit ribosomal RNA", at positions 885 to 1382 of the family's 1533-position model. The record is from RNAcentral. Lineage: Bacteria; Pseudomonadati; Bacteroidota; Sphingobacteriia; Sphingobacteriales.